RNAcentral lists this transfer RNA (85 nucleotides) under Felis catus (domestic cat). It matches the Rfam family "tRNA". From Rfam's summary of the family: Transfer RNA (tRNA) molecules are approximately 80 nucleotides in length. Their secondary structure includes four short double-helical elements and three loops (D, anti-codon, and T loops). Further hydrogen bonds mediate the characteristic L-shaped molecular structure. tRNAs have two regions of fundamental functional importance: the anti-codon, which is responsible for specific mRNA codon recognition, and the 3' end, to which the tRNAs corresponding amino acid is attached (by aminoacyl-tRNA synthetases). tRNAs cope with the degeneracy of the genetic code in two manners: having more than one tRNA (with a specific anti-codon) for a particular amino acid; and 'wobble' base-pairing, i.e. permitting non-standard base-pairing at the 3rd anti-codon position. The record is from Rfam by way of RNAcentral. Lineage: Eukaryota; Metazoa; Chordata; Mammalia; Carnivora; Felidae.
GCCUGGGUGGCUCAGUCGGUUAAGCGUCCGACUUCGGCUCAGGUCAUGAUCUUGCGGUCCGUGGGUUCGAGCCCUGCCUCGGGCU